UGGGGAAUAUUGCGCAAUGGGCGAAAGCCUGACGCAGCAACACCGUGUGAGCGAUGAAGGCCUUAGGGUUGUAAAGCUCUGUCAAAUGGGAAGAAUUAUGACGGUACCUGCAGAAGAAGCUCCGGCCAACUACGUGCCAGCAGCCGCGGUAACACGUAGGGAGCAAGCGUUGUCCGGAAUUAUUGGGCGUAAAGAGCUCGUAGGCGGCUACAUAAGUCUGACGUGAAAGCCCGGGGCUCAACCCCGGAAGUGCAUCGGAAACUGUGUAGCUAGAGUCCCGGAGAGGAUGGUGGAAUUCCAGGUGUAGAGGUGAAAUUCGUAGAUAUCUGGAGGAACAUCAGUGGCGAAGGCGGCCAUCUGGACGGUGACUGACGCUGAGGUGCGAAAGCGUGGGGAGCGAACAGG
RNAcentral lists this ribosomal RNA (405 nucleotides) under uncultured bacterium. RNAcentral describes it as "bacterial SSU rRNA". It matches the Rfam family "Bacterial small subunit ribosomal RNA", at positions 355 to 776 of the family's 1533-position model. The record is from RNAcentral.